AGAUGUGACCAUGAUUUCUCCAAACACCCUGAGAGAUACCACAAAUACAGCCCAGCGCAGCCAUUUUGUUGAGAAACUUCACCACCUUCUGGAGGGCUGUAUUCUUCUCUUCCGCUGAGGCUUUAAUAUCAGACUUGGAUUCUAGACAAAGUAAAUGAGAGGAAAAAGGAUAACCUAAUAUUAAUAUAACAUGAUUAAAUAAAGAUGUACAAAUUGACAGUUUUCAGUGACAGAUGAAAGAUCAAAUGGAGUAGCUGUCCAGACCAGCGUAAACGCCAGACAAAUGAUGCUAACAAGAAAAGAUGCUGGGAAAGACGUCAACUGCAUGCUUUAACUGCAGCUAAAGGUGAGUCUUUGGACUUGGAGAGGCUGCAGGGCCAGAGAGUGCCACACUUAGCCAGGCGUGUGAGCACCAUAGACUGCAACGUGCUCAACACCAGGAUGACCAAACAGAAACAGAAGUGCUUUCCUAUGGAGAACAACGAG
Oncorhynchus tshawytscha (Chinook salmon) is the source of this 486-nucleotide long non-coding RNA. The record is from Ensembl. Lineage: Eukaryota; Metazoa; Chordata; Actinopteri; Salmoniformes; Salmonidae.